Molecule: ribosomal RNA, 275 nt
Filed under: uncultured bacterium
Lineage: Bacteria
Description: partial 16S ribosomal RNA
Rfam family: Bacterial small subunit ribosomal RNA
Source: RNAcentral
CCUACGGGUGGCUGCAGUGGGGAAUCUUGCGCAAUGGGCGAAAGCCUGACGCAGCGACGCCGCGUGGGUGAUGAAGGCCUUCGGGUCGUAAAGCUCUGUGGGGAGAGACGAAUAAAGCGGGAAUAAUACUCUCGACGAUGACGGUAUCUCCUUAGCAAGCACCGGCUAACUCUGUGCCAGCAGCCGCGGUAAGACAGAGGGUGCAAACGUUGUUCGGAAUUACUGGGCGUAAAGCGUGUGUAGGCGGCCACGUAAGUUGGAUGUGAAAGCCCAGG